UUUCCGUAGGUGAACCUGCGGAAGGAUCAUUAAAAAAUUGGACUCCAUUGGUGAGUUCAUUAAUAAUCCCUACCCUUUGUGAAUUUGUUUGUUUGAAUAAUUUUUUUUCCAAAAAAAAUUAUUGAAUGUCUUUCCCUGUUUUGGUGGAGCUUGUAAAGUGAAACCAGGCAGGGGAAUGGCAAACAAUAAUUAUUUUUGAAAAAAGACCUUUUUUUAAAAUUAAACUUUUUGUAUUCAUUUGUCUAAAAUUAUUUUUAUAAUAUAAAAACAACUUUUGACAAUGGAUCUCUUGGUUCUCGCAACGAUGAAGAACGCAGCAAAAUGCGAUAAGUAGUGUGAAUUGCAGAAUACGUGAAUCAUCGAAUCUUCGAACGCAUAUUGCACUUUUUUAGUUUACUAAAAAAGUAUGUCUGUUUGAGUAUCAGUAAAAUAUUCUCAUAAAAAACAUUGUUUUUUUAUGGUUAUGAGUGUUUUACAACGAUAACAAGUUGUUUCACUUUAAAUUCUUUGUUAUCAAAAAAAUCAUUAAAAGCUAAUUUUAAAGAUUUUUUAAAAUCGGAUAAAAUUUUCCCGUAAAAAGGAAUAACCUAAACAAUUUUAAAAAAUUAAAAUUGGUUUGAUUUUUUUUGAAACCCAAAGGAAAAAAAAACGAAAUUAACUUGAUCUCAAAUCAGAUAAGAGUACCCGCUGAACUUAAGCAUAUCAAUAAGCGGAGGAAAAGAAACUAACUAGGAUUCCCUCAGUAGCGGCGAGUGAAGCGGGAAGAGCUCAAAUUUGAAAUCUUCAAGGUUUUACCUUGACGAAUUGUAGUUUAAAGAAGUGUUUUCUGUUGGAGUUUUGGUAAAAGUUCUUUGGAAAAGGACAUCAUAGAGGGUGGGAAUCCCGUAUUUGACCAUUAUCUCCAGCUUUGUGAUACACUCUCAAAGAGUCGGAUUGUUUGGGAAUGCAGUCCAAAAUGGGUAGUAAAUUUCAUCUAAAGCUAAAUACUGGCGAGAGACCGAUAGCGAACAAGUACCGUGAGGGAAAGAUGAAAAGAACUUUGAAAAGAGAGUUAAACAGUACGUGAAAUUGUCAAAAGGGAAGCGUUUGACACCAGUGUUGUUUUCUCGAAAAUCAAUUAAAAAAGGCCGGAUUUUGUGUUGUAUUGACUUUAUCAGCUUUCUGCACUUUUUUCUUGUCUUUUUUAAUGCACUUUUCGUUUAACAAGUCAACAUCAAUUUCUUUUGUUGUAAAAGGGUCAUUGGAAGGUGGCUUUCUUUUCGGAGAAAGUGUUUAUAGCCUUUGGCCUCUGCAAUCGGAGAGAUUGAGGUCUGCAGCGUAUAUCCUUCGGGGUUAGAUACAUUUGUGCUAAGUUAUAGCCUUUCAUAGACAACUUGUUGACUAUGAUCAGUCAUGUAGCUUACUCGCUUAUGCUAUUUUACCUACGCUUAGGAUGUUG
Molecule: unclassified non-coding RNA, 1438 nt
Filed under: uncultured Neocallimastigales
Lineage: Eukaryota; Fungi; Neocallimastigomycota; Neocallimastigomycetes; Neocallimastigales
Description: partial contains small subunit ribosomal RNA, internal transcribed spacer 1, 5.8S ribosomal RNA, internal transcribed spacer 2, and large subunit ribosomal RNA
Rfam family: Eukaryotic large subunit ribosomal RNA (bases 661-1438)
Source: RNAcentral